RNAcentral lists this ribosomal RNA (416 nucleotides) under uncultured bacterium. RNAcentral's name for it is "bacterial SSU rRNA". It matches the Rfam family "Bacterial small subunit ribosomal RNA", at positions 355 to 786 of the family's 1533-position model. The record is from RNAcentral.
UCGGGAAUAUUGCGCAAUGGAGGAAACUCUGACGCAGUGACGCCGCGUGCAGGAAGAAGGUUUUCGGAUUGUAAACUGCUUUAGACAGGGAAGAAACAAGACAGUACCUGUAGAAUAAGCUCCGGCCUAACUACGUGCCAGCAGCCGCGGUAAUACGUAGGGAGCAAGCGUUAUCCGGAUUUAUUGGGUGUAAAGGGUGCGUAGACGGGAAUGCAAGUUGGUUGUGAAAUCCCUCGGCUCAACCGAGGAAUUGCAACCAAAACUAUAUUUCUUGAGUGCUGGAGAGGAAAGUGGAAUUCCUAGUGUAGCGGUGAAAUGCGUAGAUAUUAGGAGGAACACCAGUGGCGAAGGCGACUUUCUGGACAGUAACUGACGUUGAGGCACGAAAGUGUGGGGAGCAGACAGGAUUAGAUACC